UAUAUGGGUGUUUUUUUUAUUGGAAACAACACUUUUAUAACUUCCAAAAUUGUUUUAACACGUUAUUCUUCAAAACAAUUUCAUCCAAAACAUGAUCUCAGAUAUCACGGUUUAUCCAACAAGAAGAAAAUAAAGUCUUAAAUCACGAUUUCUACAACAAGCCGCCACAAUACUCUGCUCUUCUUGCGCUGGACCGGUCCAAUGAUGGACUGUAGUCCGACCCUAAAAGAGGACCUAAGUGCCAGGGAUUUCAGGAGAGGAAGAGCCAUUGAUGAAAAUAAGGUUGAGUUUGUUGCUAAUGUUUGUGUUUUUCUUGGGAGAAAGUGAAACUUAAUUGAUCAGUAAGCCAUCAGACUCUUCAAAUAAAUCUGGCGCUGUGUUCAAUCUAUCUAACACCAUCAUUAGCAGCAGAAUCAUGACACUUUCAACCACUUUGAAACAAUUAGGUCUAAUUCAAAUCCUAAUGAUGAUAAUUUUUAAGCACUGUUAGCAGAGCCGUCAAUUGAUCAGACUCCAAUGGCAGCGGUAGUGUCACGAUCCAAUUUCAUGGGCCGAGACCGGUGCUAGGGAAUGAGAGUGCUAGCUCCGAAACCCGUAGCAAGCCUAAAAAUACUGUAAUUUUUUUUUUUCGCUUUUCAAAACAUACUUUUAUUCAUAAAACAAUUUUGUAAUACAUGUGAUUCCAUUUAUAAAAGCAUUAGAGUUAAAACA
Long non-coding RNA from Mercurialis annua (annual mercury), 711 nucleotides. RefSeq lists it as uncharacterized. The transcript has 2 exons. NCBI's taxonomy places the organism in Eukaryota, Viridiplantae, Streptophyta, Magnoliopsida, Malpighiales, Euphorbiaceae. The record is from RefSeq and is a predicted model, not a curated record.